Molecule: ribosomal RNA, 366 nt
Filed under: uncultured organism
Description: bacterial SSU rRNA
Rfam family: Bacterial small subunit ribosomal RNA
Source: RNAcentral
CGGAGGAUCCAAGCGUUAUCCGGAAUCAUUGGGUUUAAAGGGUCCGUAGGCGGGUUUAUAAGUCAGUGGUGAAAGCCCAUCGCUCAACGAUGGAACGGCCAUUGAUACUGUAGAUCUUGAAUUAUUAGGAAGUAACUAGAAUAUGUAGUGUAGCGGUGAAAUGCUUAGAGAUUACAUGGAAUACCAAUUGCGAAGGCAGGUUACUACUAAUGGAGUGACGCUGAUGGACGAAAGCGUGGGUAGCGAACAGGAUUAGAUACCCUGGUAGUCCACGCCGUAAACGAUGGAUACUAGCUGUUCGGAGCAAUCUGAGUGGCUAAGCGAAAGUGAUAAGUAUCCCACCUGGGGAGUACGUUCGCAAGAAUG